RNAcentral lists this ribosomal RNA (465 nucleotides) under uncultured bacterium. RNAcentral describes it as "partial 16S ribosomal RNA". It matches the Rfam family "Bacterial small subunit ribosomal RNA", at positions 28 to 507 of the family's 1533-position model. The record is from RNAcentral.
GACGAACGCUGGCGGCGUGCUUAACACAUGCAAGUCGAACGGAAAGGCCCCUUUGGGGGUCCUCGAGUGGCGAACGGGUGAGUAACACGUGAGUAACCUGCCCCUGACUUUGGGACAACUUCAGGAAACUGGGGCUAAUACCGGUUAGGAAUCCUUUCUUCAUGGGGGGGGUUCGAAAGCUUCGGGGGUUUUUGAUGGACUCGCGGCUUAUCUGCUUGUUGGUGGGGUAGUGGCUUACCAAGGCUUUGACGCGUAGCCGGACUGAGGGGGCGACCGGCCACAUUGGGACUGAGAUACGGCCCAGACUCCUACGGGAGGCAGAAGUGGGGAAUAUUGCACAAUGGGCGGAGGCCUGAUGCAGAAACGCCGCGUGCGGGAUGACGGUCUUCGGGUUGUAGACCGCUUUCAGCAGGGGCGAAGCUUGUGGUGACGGUACCUGCAGAAGAAGCACCGGCUAACUACGUG